Molecule: ribosomal RNA, 1201 nt
Filed under: Lyngbya sp. kushi1mo20
Lineage: Bacteria; Bacillati; Cyanobacteriota; Cyanophyceae; Oscillatoriales; Microcoleaceae
Description: bacterial SSU rRNA
Rfam family: Bacterial small subunit ribosomal RNA
Source: RNAcentral
UUGGAACGAUGGCUAAUACCGCAUAUGUCGAGAGAUGAAAGAUUUAUCGCCUGAGGAUGAGCUCGCGUCUGAUUAGCUAGUUGGUGGGGUAAAGGCUUACCAAGGCGACGAUCAGUAGCUGUUCUGAGAGGAAGAUCAGCCACACUGGGACUGAGACACGGCCCAGACUCCUACGGGAGGCAGCAGUGGGGAAUUUUCCGCAAUGGGCGCAAGCCUGACGGAGCAACGCCGCGUGAGGGAGGAAUGUCUGUGGAUUGUAAACCUCUUUUCUCUGGGAAGAAGAUCUGACGGUACCAGAGGAAUCAGCAUCGGCUACUCCGUGCCAGCAGCCGCGGUAAGACGGAGGAUGCAAGCGUUAUCCGGAAUUAUUGGGCGUAAAGCGUCCGUAGGCGGCUAAUUAAGUCAGUUGCUAAAGACUGCAGCUCAACUGUGGGAGAGCAACUGAAACUGGUUGGCUAGAGUAUGGUAGGGGUAGAGGGAAUUCCUAGUGUAGCGGUGAAAUGCGUAGAUAUUAGGAAGAACACCAGUGGCGAAGGCGCUCUGCUGGGCCAUAACUGACGCUGAUGGACGAAAGCUAGGGGAGCGAAAGGGAUUAGAUACCCCUGUAGUCCUAGCUGUAAACGGUGGAUACUAGGUGUUGUGCGUAUCGACCCGUGCAGUACCGUAGCAAACGCGUUAAGUAUCCCGCCUGGGGAGUACGCACGCAAGUGUGAAACUCAAAGGAAUUGACGGGGGCCCGCACAAGCGGUGGAGUAUGUGGUUUAAUUCGAUGCAACGCGAAGAACCUUACCAGGACUUGACAUCCCUCGAACUUUCUAGAAAUAGAUUGGUGCCUUCGGGAGCGAGGAGACAGGUGGUGCAUGGCUGUCGUCAGCUCGUGUCGUGAGAUGUUGGGUUAAGUCCCGCAACGAGCGCAACCCACGUCCUUAGUUGCCAUCAUUAAGUUGGGCACUCUGGGGAGACUGCCGGGGACAACUCGGAGGAAGGUGUGGACGACGUCAAGUCAUCAUGCCCCUUACGUUCUGGGCUACACACGUACUACAAUGCAACGGACAAAGGGCAGCCAACUAGCGAUAGUGAGCUAAUCCCAUAAACCGUUGCUCAGUUCAGAUUGCAGGCUGCAACUCGCCUGCAUGAAGGAGGAAUCGCUAGUAAUCGCAGGUCAGCAUACUGCGGUGAAUACGUUCCCGGGCCUGUACAC